GAUGAACGCUGGCGGCGUGCCUAAUACAUGCAAGUCGAGCGGACGGACGAGAAGCUUGCUUCUCUGAUGUUAGCGGCGCACGGGUGAGUAACGCGUGUAUACCCUCCCUAUAUGACGGAGAUCACUUCGGGACACGGGCUCUAAUACGGGAUAAUAUUUUGAACCGCAUGGUUCGAAAGUGAAAGACGGUCUUUCUGUCACUUAUAGAUGGAUCCGCGCUGCAUUGGCUAGUUGGUAAGGUAACGGCUUACCACGGCAACGAUGCAUAGCCGACCUGAUAGGGUGAUCGGCCACACGGGAACUGAGACACGGUCCAGACGACUAAGGGACGCAGCAGUAGGGAAUGGUCCGCAACGGGCGAAAGCCUGACGGAGCAACCGCGCGUGAGUGACGAAGGUCUUCGGAUCGUAAAACUCGGUUAUUAGUUAAGAACAGAUGUGUACUGAACCGUGCACAUAUUGACGGUAAUUAAUCAGAAAGCCACGGCUAACUACGUG
Molecule: ribosomal RNA, 497 nt
Filed under: uncultured bacterium
Lineage: Bacteria
Description: partial 16S ribosomal RNA
Rfam family: Bacterial small subunit ribosomal RNA
Source: RNAcentral